RNAcentral lists this ribosomal RNA (237 nucleotides) under uncultured bacterium. Its description in RNAcentral is "partial 16S ribosomal RNA". It matches the Rfam family "Bacterial small subunit ribosomal RNA", at positions 118 to 347 of the family's 1533-position model. The record is from RNAcentral.
UGAGUAACCUGCCCUUAACUCUGGGAUAAGCCUGGGAAACUUGGUCUAAUACCGGAUAUGACUCCUCAUCGCAUGGUGGGGGGUGGAAAGCUUUUUGUGGUUUUGGAUGGACUCGCGGCCUAUCAGCUUGUUGGUGAGGUAAUGGCUCACCAAGGCAUCGACGGGUAGCUGGUCUGAGAGGAUGAUCAGCCACACGUGGGACUGGGACACGGCCCCCCAGACCUCCGUACGGGAGCA